UACGGGGGGGGCAAGCGUUGUUCGGAAUUACUGGGCGUAAAGGGCUCGUAGGCGGCCAAUUAAGUCAGACGUGAAAUCCCUCGUCUUAACCGGGGAACUGCGUCUGAUACUGGAUGGCUUGAAUCCGGGAGAGGGAUGCGGAAUUCCAGGUGUAGCGGUGAAAUGCGUAGAUAUCUGGAGGAACACCGGUGGCGAAGGCGGCAUCCUGGACCGGCAUUGACGCUGAGGAGCGAAAGCCAGGGGAGCAAACGGG
This 253-nucleotide ribosomal RNA is filed under the name uncultured bacterium. RNAcentral describes it as "partial 16S ribosomal RNA". It matches the Rfam family "Bacterial small subunit ribosomal RNA", at positions 524 to 776 of the family's 1533-position model. The record is from RNAcentral.